Molecule: long non-coding RNA, 3325 nt
Organism: Balaenoptera ricei (Rice's whale)
Lineage: Eukaryota; Metazoa; Chordata; Mammalia; Artiodactyla; Balaenopteridae
Exons: 2
Source: RefSeq, a predicted model, not a curated record
GCCCCUGCCCGGUGGGCUUGGGCACCAGGACAGCACUCCUGAGAGCACGUGCUUCUCUGCGCGUGUCUCAGUUUCAGAGGGGCUGGUGUGAGAAAGGGUGGGGAGGGGCCUGCUUCUCCCAGGGGCCCCCUGAGCUCCCAGCUCAUGGAAAGCCCUUCCUUCACGCUCCCCUGCUCAGGAGGCUGUCGCCCAGCCUCCUCUCCCAGGGCCCCUCCUGGGGCUACCACCUGACCCCCCCACCCUGCCAGCAUGGCCAAGGGUGCCCCUCGCGGUAGUAUCCGGUUCCUGUCUCCCUCUAGCUGGCUGCCACUGAGGAAUCCUUCCUCCCCCCUGUGUCAUUCUGAUGGCUCAGGAGGUGGCCCCGGGACCGUGAGACCCUCUGCUACAGGCCCACAGCCAAGCGAGUGCUUGGAGCACCCCGCACCUUGGGGACACAGUCUGUGGCCAGCAAGGCCCCCGACCGUCUUCAUCGGGACCCAGAGGGGUGGCCCCUUACCUUCCUCCGCCCCUCAGCUGCCUCCAGCCGCUUCUGCAGCUCCUCCAGGGAGGUGUCCUUCCUCUUGGGGGGGGAGGAGAGCAUGGGACUCUCCGGGGACAGGUCGGAAGGGGACUUGAGGAUGACCUCAAAGCUCUGGCCGGAGGCCCUCUUGUCCAGCUGCUUCACCUCCAUGUCUGCGGGGCAGAAGCAGAUGGGGGCUUCAGGAGGGCUGCUCAAGGAGGGGGCGGGCCGAGCACACACCCAAGUCAGGGUUGAGUGGAGGGGUGAGGCUGUUCACGUGGGACCCCCAGGACCGGCCCCUCCCCGCAGGGACCCCUCUCCAGGAGGCAGCCAAGCGGGGGUUCACCGACGCCACGGGAGGGGGUAGCGAAGUCAGGAGGCAGCAGGCCCUGGCAGGGCAGCGGCCGGGCACACUCACCCCCGUACUGGUAGACGGUGUUGGGGUGCGGCUGUGAGUAGAAGCAGGAGCAGAUGAGUGACAGCACCGACAGCUCCUUCAUCUUCUCCUUGUAGGCUGUGGGCGGGAGGCCAGCCUGAGCAGGCGCCGUCCCCUCGCACCUCCAGCCCCACCUCCGCGGAUGCCCAGGCCUCCCUGCCUCUGCCCCCGAUGCGCCUCUCUGGGAGCCUGUUUACCUUGAUCUUUUGUGUCCCACAUCUCUGACUCUCCAUGUCCCUCCCUCCCUCCCAGAUGUUGGCUGUCUUUCCCUGGGCACGCCUCCCUGUGGGUGUCCUGCAUUGGUCUUUCUGUUCCUGUCUCUGAGUCCCUGGCCCCCCUCUCUGUCUGCCUCUGUCUCUCUCUCCCUCCUUUUCUCUCUCUUGGCAUUUCUGUCUGUGUCUCCGUUCAUCCUUCUGUCUUUCUGGCUCUCCAUCUGUCACUACCACUCUUUGUAUCUUUACAUCUCCGUGAUUCUUUGUCACUGUGUAUCUUCCCGACUCUCCCCUCCCUCUGCCCCUCCACGUACUUCUCCGUCCUCCCCUUUCCCUCUCAUGGACACUUGCCCGGUCAGUCGAGAGGUUACUGGGCCAGCACAAAUGUAGAGCUUCUGCAGGCAGCACUUUCUUGGGCUGUGCACUUAAGUGAAGCCCUCAGACCCUCCUGUCUGCCCCCAGCCCACCCCCCGUUUACCCUGUAGUGUGCCCACCGUGGGAUGAAAUCAGGUUCUCACCAGACACGCACUGGCUGCUCAUCAAAAGCCAAAGGGACGGGAGCUGUCCGUUCAGCACCACAGCCCGCCCUCUGGCCUUGCAGGGUGAGCGCCCACAGCCAGUGUCCACACUACCCAACCAGAAAAGGAGAGGGAAGAGGUGGAGGCCCGGACCUCUCCACAGACAUAGCUCCAGCCAGGAAGCGGGGCCUCGAGGCAUGCCCUCCCUUUUCUCUCCUCACCAGGACCUUCUCUUCCUUCCCCAUCACUGACUUCAGAAAGUCAUUAAAAACAAAUCCCUACCAUGAACUGGAUUGCUUUUAUCCCCCCUUCAUAGUAAAUGUUAAACAUGCAAAAAUGCAUAUUGGCCUUUUGGAUGAUUACAUCUCAGAAGAGCAAGAGUUAGAAGGCACCAGAUCAGCCUAGAGCACCUGGUAACAACAAUAAUCGUGCCCAAGGGGGAUGGGGUGGGCACGUCACACCCUUCCUCCAGACUGACUCUCAAGACCAGCCAGCCCAGGCAGACACCCUCAUCAGCCUCAUUUCUACAGAGAAGGAGGUUCAGAGAGGGCAAGUGGCACCCCCAAAGUCACACAGCAUGCCAGGAUGGCAGCCCUGUCACGAGCCCAGGCCUCUGCACUUUCCUGUUGGGAGCCUCAUGGUGGGUGGGGAGGUCUUCCAGAACUAGGAGGGAAGGGGGCCCACAGAUUCCCGCUCACCCCUAGAAGGGCCCUGGAGGCUGCUGCUAACUGCCUCCUAACAGAGGGAGCUUGUUGCCACCCAGGCUGCCCCUCUCUCACUUGUCAGAGUCUCCUCCAUCCGUGUCGGGAGCCCAACAUGGCAGGCGUUGCCAGCAGAAUUCACCUUUCUCUGGGAAAUGUGGCUGCAACAGUCAUGCUGCCUGGCAUGGACUGGGCACUCGCCUCUUGCCAGGCCCCAGGCCAAGCACUGUUUCCUGAAAUAGCUCACUCAACCCUCAGAACAAGCCUAGGGGAGGUGCUGUCACUAUCAUGCCACCCAGAUGGGGAGAUUGAGCCCCUGAGAGGCUAGGUAGCAGGUGCAAGCCCUUGCAGCUCGCCAGAGGCGCAUAAGGGGAUGAACGUGAGCAAGUCUACAAAAGCACCUGAAGAACUGAGCACCUGGGAAGGACACCGAGACGCAGUGUCCUCAGAACGCGGCCCAUCAGGAGGCACUCGAGGGAGAGGCAGGGGCAAAGCUUUGCAAUCCGUGCACAAAGACGAGGCCAAGAGCAAUCCUGCCGCGGCCACAGACCAGAGCAGAGGUGACGCUUCAAGGCCACUGAGGCACGCAAGUCUGCUCCAAUCAAAGAUGUGUUUUCAGAGAGAAGCCAUAGCUGGUUCACUUACACCAAUUUUGGCCACAGUUACCAGCGCUGUCACGUAGCCACUUCUGGGCCAGACCUCUCUCCUAUCAAACUGUUAUGGCCGGGAGAAGCUGCAGGUGAGCACAGGUGUGUGUACACAUGGGCUGCACUCUAUAGAGGGCAGUGCUGAUGACAGAAGAUGAAAGGCCCAGCCCCAUGUGAUGUCAGCUAGGAGCAGUUCUCCAGCUGGCACUGCAGUAUGUCUUUGCUGGCCAUGCUGGACAAAACUGACCAAUUGCACUCAUGGUCUCUUCCUUUCUUUUUUCUUUAAAAAAAUUUUUUUUUUGUUUUGGCUGC